UUCCUGUGUUCAUUACUCAUCGAGCUGAGGCCUCGUAUGCAGCAAGGCGUAUUUCUUACGUGCUGCUCAGAAAGGUCUAAAACGUAGUGAACGCUGAAGAAAAGAGUACAGAAAUAUAAAAACAAUAAUGUCCUGUUAGAUAUAUACAUGUGGCCUACAUAGAUCUGUUAUAAAGAAAGGAGGAAAGUGAUUCAGUUUGAAGAUCUACUAUUAGUAUUUAUUGAUUCAAGGUCCAGUCAAGUUAUUACUAUCUAUAGUCCUUGUGUUCAAUGUCCAGUCCGUGUGACCAUUGUCCAGUCAAUGUGAUCCUUGCCAGUUGAAUUCCUAUUAUAGUCAAGUCAAUACCGGUCCAUUCAAGUUAUUCCUUGUCGGAGUUGUCCUGUCAAGUUGAUCCUUGUCCGGUGGAGUUUAUCCCUGUCCAGUCAAGUUGAUCCUUGUCCAGUCAAGUUGAACCUUGUCCAGUGGAUUUGUUCCCUGUCCAGUCAAGUUGAUCCUUGUCCAGUGGAUUUGAUCCCUGUCCAGUCAGGCUGUUGUUCUAGAGAUGCUUUAGAUGAUGGCACUUUCUUACUGAUAAAUAUAGCUGACCUCAGUUUUCAUCAAAUUAGUAUGUAUUGUAUCAUAUAUAUGUUUUAGUUCACCUGGCAUACUCAUCACUUAGCGUCAGUUGUCUAUCGUUGGUGUUGUUAAAUUUUACAAAAAUCCUCUCCUCUGAAACUACUAGGACAAAUUAAACAAAA
Mytilus trossulus (common blue mussel) is the source of this 737-nucleotide long non-coding RNA. RefSeq lists it as uncharacterized. The transcript is spliced from 6 exons. The record is from RefSeq and is a predicted model, not a curated record. NCBI's taxonomy places the organism in Eukaryota, Metazoa, Mollusca, Bivalvia, Mytilida, Mytilidae.